Molecule: long non-coding RNA, 925 nt
Organism: Malania oleifera
Lineage: Eukaryota; Viridiplantae; Streptophyta; Magnoliopsida; Santalales; Ximeniaceae
Exons: 2
Source: RefSeq, a predicted model, not a curated record
UAUAAAACCUUUAAUAAACUUUAUUAUAUUUCAUUGUCAUACCAUUUUAUUUCACGAAACAAACUUGACAUAAUAUGCUUUUUUUUCUUCUUGUUUUAGUGAAAAACGGAAAUCAGCACAUUAAAAACAUAAAGACUUUACUCAGCUGAAUAGUACACGCGCAGUUCCACACGAGGAGCUGAAUUCUUCUUUGAAUUUGGAUCAGUGCCAAACUUAUCAGUUCAUCCAAACGCCCAUUUUGAUCAGCAGGAGAUAAUCCACAUAUUCGAAGAUCUUGACGAGAGAGUAGUUUAUUUUCACGGUGCCAAUUCUGUUUGGUUGGACAGAAAAUAUUUGUCAACCGCCAAAGCUUCACGCGUCCUUCAAAUCAAAACUAGCCCAUCUUUACUUUAUGCUUACUGGAGAAGUGCUUAGUCGCGGCGAUUAUGGUUAGGGCUGCGUCCGGCCGACUUCUAGAAGACUCCAGCUCAUUACAAGCAGGAGUACUUUCAGGAGACGCAGGAAAGCAUGAAGUCAGAAACCUCAAGCACAAGGUUUGAAAAAGAAGGCGAGUUUUUCUGCAGAUUGCAGUAGAAAUAGAAAGAUGAGAGGGAAAUUUUCUAGCUACCCAAACAAAAAAGCCUUAGCAGUAGUGCAGAAUAGAACUUAAUUAUAAGGGGGUUUGCGAUUUAGUUGAUUCUGUAAAACCACCACCAGUUUAGCUCUUUAUAUAGCCUUCAAAGAUUUCUGGCAGUCUUGGUGGUCAAGCUGAGUGUUGGGAAUCUGACCGCUCAAAGAGAAGGAAAAAUCAGCGCAAGAGGGGUGGGUCUUUUUCUCUUUGACCUGAGAAUUGCCUGUUGAUCAAGCUUAUGGUGUAGGUGGAGCCACAUUUGCUAGGUUGGAAUUUUGUUUGAAUUUCAAUCAAAGAUGUUACCUUUAUUGUUUA